This 4322-nucleotide long non-coding RNA is filed under the name Sorghum bicolor (sorghum). RNAcentral's name for it is "long non-coding RNA (SBIC_LNC018556)". The record is from RNAcentral. Lineage: Eukaryota; Viridiplantae; Streptophyta; Magnoliopsida; Poales; Poaceae.
AGGUGAAGAGGCUCAAGUUGAAGGUCGGUUCGAUCUGUUUGGAGAUAGUGCUAAUCUUGAUGCAAGAUAGGUGAACGGUUUUCAUGGAACAUACCAUAUGCUAAGAAAUCUAUUUGGAUGCAUCGCAAUAGAACUCCUAGAUGACAUGUGUCAUAUGGAAUCUCGCUUUGGUUUAUUUGGAGACAGAGUUAGUUUUGGUGCAAGAUAGGUACACAGUUUGCGCCUAAUGCAUCAUAGGCUAAGAAACCAUUUUGGAUGCACCCGAUGAUACUCCUGGGUAAAGGGGCUCAAGUGGAAGCUCAGUUUGCUUUGUUUGGAGAUAGUGCUAAUCUUGAUGCAAGAUAGGUGCACGAAUUGCAUCGAACGUACCUUAUGCUUAGAAAUAUAUUUGGAAGCACCCAAUAGAACUCCUAGAUGAUGUGUGUCAUAUAGAAUCUCACUUCGGUCUCUUUGGAGAUAGUGUUAGUUUCGGUGCAAGAUAGGUACACGGUUUGUGCCAAAUGCACCAUAGGCUAAGAAACUAUUUUGGACGCACGCGAUGGUACUCCUUGGUGAAGAGGCUCAUGUGGAACCUUGGUUCUGUGUAUUUGAAGAUAGUUCCAAUCUUGAUGCAAGAUAGGUGCACGGUUUGCAUGGAACAUACCAUAUGCUCAGAAAUCAAUUUGGACACACCCGAUGGAACUGUAGAUGCACCCGAUGGAACUACUAGAUGAAGUGUAUCAUAUGGAAUCUCGCUUCAGUCCAGAUGGAGAUAAUAUUAGUUUUGGUGCAAGAUAGUUGCAUGGUUUGUGCCCAGUGCACCAUAGGCUCAGAAAUCGUUGUGGAAGUUCCCGAUGGUACUCCUAGGUGAAGAGGCUCAAGUGAAAGCUCGGUUCGGUCUGUUUGGAGAUAGUGCUAAUCUUGAUGAAAGAUAGGUGUACGGUUUGCAUUGAACGUACCGUAUUCUCAGAAAUCAAUUUGGACGCACUCGAUAGAACUCCUAGAUCAUGUGUGUCAUAUGGAAUCUCGCUUCAAUCUGUUUGGAGACAGUUUAGGUGCAAGAUUGGUGCAUGGUUUGCGCAUAAUGCACCAUAGGCUCGGAAACCAUUAUGGAAGCACCCGAUAGUACUCCUAGGUGAAGAGGCUCAAGUGGAAGGUCGGUUCGAUCUGUUUGGAGAUAGUGCUAAUCUUGAUGCAAGAUAGGUGAACGGUUUCCAUGGAACAUACCAUAUGCUAAGAAAUCUAUUUGGAUGCAUCGCAAUAGAACUCCUAGAUGACAUGUGUCAUAUGGAAUCUCGCUUUGGUUUAUUUGGAGACAGAGUUAGUUUUGGUGCAAGAUAGGUACACAGUUUGCGCCUAAUGCAUCAUAGGCUAAGAAACCAUUUUGGAUGCACCCGAUGAUACUCCUGGGUAAAGGGGCUCAAGUGGAAGCUCAGUUUGCUUUGUUUGGAGAUAGUGCUAAUCUUGAUGCAAGAUAGGUGCACGAAUUGCAUCGAACGUACCUUAUGCUUAGAAAUAUAUUUGGAAGCACCCAAUAGAACUCCUAGAUGAUGUGUGUCAUAUAGAAUCUCACUUCGGUCUCUUUGGAGAUAGUGUUAGUUUCGGUGCAAGAUAGGUACACGGUUUGUGCCAAAUGCACCAUAGGCUAAGAAACUAUUUUGGACGCACGCGAUGGUACUCCUUGGUGAAGAGGCUCAUGUGGAACCUUGGUUCUGUGUAUUUGAAGAUAGUUCCAAUCUUGAUGCAAGAUAGGUGCACGGUUUGCAUGGAACAUACCAUAUGCUCAGAAAUCAAUUUGGACACACCCGAUGGAACUGUAGAUGCACCCGAUGGAACUACUAGAUGAAGUGUAUCAUAUGGAAUCUUGCUUCAGUCCAGUUGGAGAUAAUAUUAGUUUUGGUGCAAGAUAGUUGCAUGGUUUGUGCCCAGUACACCAUAGGCUCAGAAAUCGUUGUGGAAGUUCCCGAUGGUACUCCUAGGUGAAGAGGCUCAAGUGAAAGCUCGGUUCGGUCUGUUUGGAGAUAGUGCUAAUCUUGAUGAAAGAUAGGUGUACGGUUUGCAUGGAACGUACCGUAUUCUCAGAAAUCAAUUUGGACGCACCCGAUAGAAGUCCUAGAUCAUGUGUGUCAUAUGGAAUCUCGCUUCAAUCUGUUUGGAGACAGUUUAGGUGCAAGAUUGGUGCAUGGUUUGCGCAUAAUGCACCAUAGGCUCGGAAACCAUUAUGGAAGCACCCGAUAGUACUCCUAGGUGAAGAGGCUCAAGUUGAAGGUCGGUUCGAUCUGUUUGGAGAUAGUGCUAAUCUUGAUGCAAGAUAGGUGAAUGGUUUUCAUGGAACAUACCAUAUGCUAAGAAAUCUAUUUGGAUGCAUCGCAAUAGAACUCCUAGAUGACAUGUGUCAUAUGGAAUCUCGCUUUGGUCUCUUUGGAGACAGAGUUAGUUUUGGUGCAAGAUAGGUACACAGUUUGCGCCUAAUGCAUCAUAGGCUAAGAAACCAUUUUGGAUGCACCCGAUGAUACUCCUAGGUAAAGGGGCUCAAGUGGAAGCUCAGUUUGCUUUGUUUGGAGAUAGUGCUAAUCUUGAUGCAAGAUAGGUGCACGAAUUGCAUCGAUCGUACCAUAUGCUUAGACAUAUAUUUGGAAGCACCCAAUAGAACUCCUAGAUGAUAUGUGUCAUAUAGAAUCUCACUUCGGUCUCUUUGGAGAUAGUGUUAGUUUCGGUGCAAGAUAGGUACACGGUUUGUGCCAAAUGCACCGUAGGCUAAGAAACUAUGUUGGACGCACGCGAUGGUACUCCUUGGUGAAGAGGCUCAUGUGGAACCUUGGUUCUGUGUAUUUGAAGAUAGUUCCAAUCUUGAUGCAAGAUAGGUGCACGGUUUGCAUGGAACAUACCAUAUGCUCAGAAAUCAAUUUGGACACACCCGAUGGAACUGUAGAUGCACCCGAUGGAACUACUAGAUGAAGUGUAUCAUAUGGAAUCUCGCUUCAGUCCAGUUAGAGAUAAUAUUAGUUUUGGUGCAAGAUAGUUGCAUGGUUUGUGCCCAGUGCACCAUAGGCUCAGAAAUCGUUGUGGAAGUUCCCGAUGGUACUCCUAGGUGAAGAGGUUCAAGUGAAAGCUCGGUUCGGUCUGUUUGGAGAUAGUGCUAAUCUUGAUGAAAGAUAGGUGUACGGUUUGCAUGGAACGUACCGUAUUCUCAGAAAUCAAUUUGGACGCACCCGAUAGAACUCCUAGAUCAUGUGUGUCAUAUGGAAUCUCGCUUUAAUCUGUUUGGAGACAGUUUAGGUGCAAGAUUGGUGCAUGGUUUGCGCAUAAUGCACCAUAGGCUCAGAAACCAUUAUGGAAGCACCUGAGAGUACUCCUAGGUGAAGAGGCUCAAGUUGAAGGUCGGUUCGAUCUGUUUGGAGAUAGUGCUAAUCUUGAUGCAAGAUAGGUGAACGGUUUGCAUGGAACAUACCAUAUGCUAAGAAAUCUAUUUGGAUGCAUCGCAAUAGAACUCCUAGAUGACAUGUGUCAUAUGUGUAACACCCUAAAUUUUGAAAGUCUUUAAAAUAGAAGAAUUUGAUUUAAUUUUGUGUUUUGUGCUCAUAAAAAUAUAAAAACAAUGAUAUUUUUUCAUUAAAUUAAAAAUUAUCAUAGGAGUUAGCAAUGUGGUUGAGCAUGCAUGCCCUUGCAUUUAUUUUAUUGAGAUGUGUGGCUGCGUCAAAAAAAAAUUCCAAAUGAUUCAAAAUAUUUUUGAAAAGAUGUGAAAAUAGCUUUGGAAUAAAAGAAAACAAAAAGGAAAGAAAAAAAAGGAAAACCUCCCCCUCUCUCAUUUUUCCCCCUCGACCCUCUCCCGUGGCCACUUGGCCCAGCAACGUGGCCCAAUGGCCAGCUCAGACAGUGAGCCGAAGCCCAGGUCGCACGCGUUCCCUCCUCUCCUCCUUCCUUCCGACUGACAGCCCGGUCCCGCGCUACCGGUCACUGACUGAUGGGACCCAAUCGUCAGCGUCUUCCUCCCUCCUUUCCUUCAUCUUCUCGACGGGCUCAUGCAGGACUCAAGCCGGUUGGAAUCAACCCCGAAAUCUUCGGGAGUUUUCUUGCCCAACGCGUAAUCCGAGCAUUCUGUGAGUUUUGGAAGCCGCCCCGUGUUUCUUUUUCCCUUAUACGCGGUCUAUCCAAGCCCUAGACGCCCUAUUGCGAGUACUCGAAUCUCGGCGAGUCCAGAACCAACCCGCCGCGGUGAACCUCGAAUUUCGUCACGGUUUGUGCUUCGGUGAGUGGUUACCGAGGUCUGUGAUGACCUUGCGAAGCAGAAAGAUCGCUCCCUAUGUUUUCUAGUGCUUCCAGUGUCUCUCUAAUCGACACCG